RNAcentral lists this ribosomal RNA (293 nucleotides) under uncultured bacterium. RNAcentral's name for it is "partial 16S ribosomal RNA". It matches the Rfam family "Bacterial small subunit ribosomal RNA", at positions 775 to 1067 of the family's 1533-position model. The record is from RNAcentral.
GGAUUAGAUACCCUGGUAGUCCACGCCGUAAACGAUGUCUACUAGCCGUUGGGGUACUUGAGACCUUAGUGGCGCAGUUAACGCGAUAAGUAGACCGCCUGGGGAGUACGGCCGCAAGGUUAAAACUCAAAUGAAUUGACGGGGGCCCGCACAAGCGGUGGAGCAUGUGGUUUAAUUCGAUGCAACGCGAAGAACCUUACCAGGUCUUGACAUCCUCGGAACUUUCCAGAGAUGGAUCGGUGCCUUCGGGAGCCGAGUGACAGGUGCUGCAUGGCUGUCGUCAGCUCGUGCCG